This 253-nucleotide ribosomal RNA is filed under the name uncultured bacterium. RNAcentral's name for it is "partial 16S ribosomal RNA". It matches the Rfam family "Bacterial small subunit ribosomal RNA", at positions 524 to 776 of the family's 1533-position model. The record is from RNAcentral.
UACGAAGGGGGCUAGCGUUGCUCGGAAUGACUGGGCGUAAAGCGCGCGUAGGCGGCUUUGUAAGUUAGAGGUGAAAGCCCGGGGCUCAACUCCGGAACUGCCUUUAAGACUGCAUCGCUUGAAUCCGGGAGAGGUGAGUGGAAUUCCGAGUGCAGAGGUGAAAUUCGUAGAUAUUCGGAAGAACACCAGUGGCGAAGGCGGCUCACUGGACCGGUAUUGACGCUGAGGUGCGAAAGCGUGGGGAGCAAACAGG